AGCUUCACACUGUGGCCGUGUCACCGCCAGUGAGGCUUAUCCAAAGCAUGAUGGUUGUCAGUUGAAAACUUUUCCCAAUAAGGCAACACUGGCAAUUUUUGACAAUUUCAAUGAGCAUUGAAUUUUUUUAUAAAAAGAAA
Otolemur garnettii (small-eared galago) is the source of this 140-nucleotide small nuclear RNA. Its record names the gene U4. It matches the Rfam family "U4 spliceosomal RNA". From Rfam's summary of the family: U4 small nuclear RNA (U4 snRNA) is a component of the major U2-dependent spliceosome. The structure of U4 snRNA from yeast and human has been reported. Lineage: Eukaryota; Metazoa; Chordata; Mammalia; Primates; Galagidae. The record is from Ensembl.